GCUGGGAUAGCUCAGUCCAUAGAGCAUGAGAUUCCUACUCUCAGGGUUGUGGGUUCGAGACACAAAAGUUGUUGACA
Podarcis lilfordi (Lilford's wall lizard) is the source of this 77-nucleotide non-coding RNA. The record is from the annotation of a GenBank genome assembly. Lineage: Eukaryota; Metazoa; Chordata; Lepidosauria; Squamata; Lacertidae.